RNAcentral lists this ribosomal RNA (253 nucleotides) under uncultured bacterium. RNAcentral's name for it is "partial 16S ribosomal RNA". It matches the Rfam family "Bacterial small subunit ribosomal RNA", at positions 524 to 776 of the family's 1533-position model. The record is from RNAcentral.
UACAGAGGUGGCAAGCGUUGUUCGGAAUUACUGGGCGUAAAGGGCGCGUAGGCGGUUCGUUAAGUCCUGUGUGAAAUCCCCCGGCUCAAUUGGGGAACUGCACAGGAAACUAGCGGGCUUGAGUUCGGGAGAGGGAAGCGGAAUUCCGGGUGUAGCGGUGAAAUGCGUAGAUAUCCGGAGGAACACCGGUGGCGAAGGCGGCUUCCUGGACCGACACUGACGCUGAGGCGCGAAAGCUAGGGGAGCAAACGGG